RNAcentral lists this ribosomal RNA (493 nucleotides) under Fusarium oxysporum. RNAcentral's name for it is "eukaryotic LSU rRNA". The stretch from base 139 to 292 matches the Rfam family "5.8S ribosomal RNA". The record is from RNAcentral. Lineage: Eukaryota; Fungi; Ascomycota; Sordariomycetes; Hypocreales; Nectriaceae.
AGCUCCUCCAACCCCUGUGACAUACCACUUGUUGCCUCGGCGGAUCAGCCCGCUCCCGGUAAAACGGGACGGCCCGCCAGAGGACCCCUAAACUCUGUUUCUAUAUGUAACUUCUGAGUAAAACCAUAAAUAAAUCAAAACUUUCAACAACGGAUCUCUUGGUUCUGGCAUCGAUGAAGAACGCAGCAAAAUGCGAUAAGUAAUGUGAAUUGCAGAAUUCAGUGAAUCAUCGAAUCUUUGAACGCACAUUGCGCCCGCCAGUAUUCUGGCGGGCAUGCCUGUUCGAGCGUCAUUUCAACCCUCAAGCACAGCUUGGUGUUGGGACUCGCGUUAAUUCGCGUUCCUCAAAUUGAUUGGCGGUCACGUCGAGCUUCCAUAGCGUAGUAGUAAAACCCUCGUUACUGGUAAUCGUCGCGGCCACGCCGUUAAACCCCAACUUCUGAAUGUUGACCUCGGAUCAGGUAGGAAUACCCGCUGAACUUAAGCAUAUCAA